Cyprinodon variegatus (sheepshead minnow) is the source of this 1490-nucleotide RNA transcript. It is a transcript of the gene named ankyrin repeat domain-containing protein 10-like, with no coding region annotated. The transcript has 7 exons. The record is from RefSeq and is a predicted model, not a curated record. NCBI's taxonomy places the organism in Eukaryota, Metazoa, Chordata, Actinopteri, Cyprinodontiformes, Cyprinodontidae.
UGAACGCAUCCUUUUCCUUUGUGUUUCAAACUCUCCUCUGAGAGCACAAGUGGCUCCAAGAAGCGCGUUUAUCCGCUCAGCCUGCCGCUUCCUGAUGUCUGCGGGGGCGCGAGCCGAGCUGUCGGCUGACGGCUGGCUCUUCCAGCACUUCCCCAUCCACCGCGCGUGCCGCGAUGGAGACCUGGUGGCUUUGAUGUCCUUAGUGGAGUCAAACCGGGCUCAUCUGAGCGCAGAGGACUCCUGUUAUGGAUGGACGCCCAUUCACUGGGCUGCUCACUACGGACAGCUGGAGUGCGUGGUCCACCUGGUGCAGAGGGGCUGCGAGGUGAACACGGUGACCAGCCGCUUCAACCAGACGCCCACGCACACCGCCGCCUUCGGAGGACACCCCCACUGCGUGGUGUGGCUCACCCAGGCCGGCGCCGACAUCAACAAACAGGACUGCGUCGGCGAGGCUCCCAUCCACAAGGCGGCGCGCUGUGGCAGCGUGGAGUGCAUCCAGGUGCUGCUGAUAGCCGGAGCAGAGCCACGUUUAAGGAACGCCAGCGGACAGACGGCGGCGGACUUAGCCAAAGCUAACGGCUUCCACGACUGCUUCGGCGCCAUCGCCCAGACGCAGCUGUGCCGGCUCGCCGUGCUCAGAGACGUCGCCCCCUGUGGCGAGGGGCAGCACUGCAGGAAGAGGCCGCUGGUCGCCAAGGAGACGGCCUCCAUGAAGAAGGCCAGGAGAGCAGAAGCGUUGUUGCCGAGCGGCGGCGGCGGCGUGGAGGAGCUGGGGGCCGUGAACAUGGAGCUCAGCUCAGAUUCCGAUCCAAACACCGAAGAGCCCCGCCCACCCUCCGACGCCGAACCAGACGAGCCCCGCCUCUCUCUGCCCAGCGCCGCCGAUAUGUGCGGCUCGCUGCACCUCGCCGGAGGUUCCGGUUCGGGCCGGCCGGAGCACUGGCGGCUGACCGGCGCCGACUCCCUGCUUUACGGACACUACCACGGCUUCGGGGACACGGCAGAGGACCUGAGCGACAGCGGCGUCCACCUCUACCACGGCUCGUAGCCCCGGGCGGAUCGGACCUGAGGAGAACUCCGAGCCUCCUCCCUUUGGUUUCAUCGGUCCGAUCAAACCAGGCCCGCACUCUGAGAGGAGGCCACAGCGGAGCACGGUGGUGGCGGCGUCAUGGUCUGUGGGUGACUGUGCAUCCAGAAAAGAUGGUUUUACUCUCUGUUCAUGUUGUUCUUUCCUUCUCCUACCCUUGUGUCCUCCCUUCCUUCCUUCCUUCUUCCCUCCAGGCUGCGUUCUGAAGCAGCGUCCAGUAGGUCUGAUGCCCCCCCCUCCAGAUCGGACCUUUCUCUCCUGUUUUGCACUAUGCAGUCGUCCAGCUGCUCCCAGGAACCAAAGGGAACGUUUAUUAUGGAGCCACAGCUGCCUUACCGCGCCUGCUUUUCUACGUUCUGACUCCUGUUAAUAAAACCUGUUUCACUCAAACGUCUCGCAU